This 1480-nucleotide ribosomal RNA is filed under the name metagenome. RNAcentral's name for it is "bacterial SSU rRNA". It matches the Rfam family "Bacterial small subunit ribosomal RNA". The record is from RNAcentral.
AGAGUUUGAUUUUGGCUCAGGAUGAACGCUAGCGGCAGGCCUAACACAUGCAAGUCGAGGGGUAACAGGGUAGUAAUAUCGCUGACGACCGGCGUACGGGUGAGUAAUGCGUAUGCAACCUUCUUUUAACUGGGGGAUAGUCCGGAGAAAUUCGGAUUAAUACCCCAUAACAUCACAGAGAGGUAUCUUUUUGUGAUUAAAGUUUUGGUGGUUAAAGAUGGGCAUGCGUACCAUUAGCUAGUUGGUGAGGUAAUGGCUCACCAAGGCUAUGAUGGUUAGGGGGUCUGAGAGGAUGAUCCCCUAUACUGGUAUUGAGAUACGGACCAGACUCCUAUGGGAGGCAGCAGUGAGGAAUAUUGGGCAAUGGGCGUAAGCCUGACCCAGCCAUGCCGCGUGAAGGAUGAAUGCCCUAUGGGUUGUAAACUUCUUUUGUACGGGACGAAAUUCCUGGUCGUGACCGGGAUUGACUGUACCGUGCGAAUAAGCAUCGGUUAACUCCGUGCCAGUAGUUGUGGUAAUAUGGAGGAUGCAAGCGUUAUCCGGAUUCAUUGGGUUUAAAGGGUGCGUAGGCGGAAUAAUAAGUCAGUGGUGAAAGCCUGCGGUUUAACCGUAGAAUUGCCAUUGAUACUGUUAUUCUUGAGUAUAGUUGAGGUGGGCGGAAUGUGUAAUGUAGCGGUGAAAUGCUUAGAUAUUACACAGAACACUAAUUGUGAAGGCAGCUCACUAAGCUGUUACUGACGCUGAGGCACGAAAGCGUGGGGAGUAAACAGGAUUAGAUACCCUGGUAGUCCACGCUGUAAAUGAUGAUCACUCGUUGUUGGCGAUAUACUGUCAGCGACUGAGCGAAAGCAAUAAGUGAUCCACCUGGGGAGUAUGGCGGUAAUGCUGAAACUCAAAGGAAUUGACGGGGGCCCGCACAAGCGGAGGAACAUGUGGUUUAAUUCGAUGAUAUGCGAGGAACCUUACCUGGGCUUGAAAGGGGAACGACCUCCCGGGAAACCGGGAUUCUCUUCGGAGCGUUCUCCUAGGUGCUGCAUGGUUGUCGUCAGCUCGUGCCGUGAGGUGUUGGGUUAAGUCCCAUAACGAGCGCAACCCCUAUUGUUAGUUGCCAGCGGGUAAUGCCGGGAACUCUAACGAAACUGUCGGUGUAAACCGUGAGGAAGGUGGGGAUGACGUCAAAUCAGCACGGCCCUUAUGUCCAGGGCUACAUACGUGUUACAAUGGCCGGUAUAAAGGGCAGCUACUUGGUGACAAGAUGCUAAUCUCGAAAACCGGUCUCAGUUCGGAUCGAAGUCUGUAAUUCGACUUCGUGAAGCUGGAUUCGCUAGUAAUCGCGCAUUAGUAAUGGCGCGGUGAAUACGUUCCCGGGCCUUGUAUAUAUUGCCCGUCAAGCCAUGGAAGCUGGGGGUACCUGAAGUCUGUAACCGUAAGGAGCGGCCUAGGGUAAAACCAGUGACUGGGGCUAAGUUGAAAUAAGGUA